Molecule: non-coding RNA, 98 nt
Organism: Podarcis lilfordi (Lilford's wall lizard)
Lineage: Eukaryota; Metazoa; Chordata; Lepidosauria; Squamata; Lacertidae
Source: the annotation of a GenBank genome assembly
GGAGGUUCCUAUUUCCCUCACAGAGCUACAAUUCCAGAGUUCCAUAUAAACAGAAACCACUGUGAAAAUUAUACCUUUGUGGGGAAAAUAGAGGCAUU